UGUUUUACAGGCUGAGUUUUCAGACUGUUUGCAUAUGCCAAAAUGUACCCCAACCACAUCCAAACUGUUAAACCCUCCUACACUUGCCGUUUAACUGUUUGCACGUUCCUUUAAGAUUUGUAACACGCCUUUCUUUAGUUUGCUAAAAUGCUAGAGAAGACACAGAGGGGCUGAAAAAUAUAACAAUGACUUGUACUUCAGACUACAGGAAACACCUACAAGGGUAAAGACUUCAGCAAUUCUGAUGACUGUCCUUAAGCCUGGAUCUUUUUGAAGGUAACUGCAGGACCAAUUGGCUGUUUACAUAGACCCUCUUUGGCCUUUUGAUGGACUGUUGACUCUGCACCUGUCACCAGAGCUUGUAAGCGGAUGUUUGAAUGUGCGCUAAAGUUUUUUUUAUUUUUUUAUUAAUCUGCUGAAAGACACCACUGCCUUCAGGGAAUACUGUUUCCAUGGAUGAUGUACUUGGCCAGCAACAAUGUUUAGAGCACCUAGCCGGACGCUCAGGUGACCGCCCGCAGAUCUCCUUCCCUCCUCCCGGCUGACGUCAGCCAGGUUUUCUCAGCCCUCCUGGUCAUGUGAGCACAGAGGGGUGCUCUGAAAAUAGACAAUUCCAAUUUUCCCUUUACUUCCUGCUGGUUCUCCUGAUGACUCCAUACCUGAAGUUGCUGCUUACAAGUUCUACUGAAUCUUCCCAGUUGCCAUCUCCAGUUUGGGGUUUCACACACCACAUCCUCUGGUAGCAUUGAAGAUUAUUUGAUGAACUGCUAAAAAGAAAUUGUGCCUUCAUACUAACAAAAAGCAGGACAACCUCAAACAUGCAGCCAAUGUCAUUAAGGAAGAACUAUCUUCAGCAUAAAGAAGAACAAGGUGUCCUGGAAGUGAUGGUUUGGCCCCCACAGAGCCCUGAUCUUAACAUAAUUAAGUCUGUCUGGGAUUACAUGAAGAGGCAGAAGGAGUUCAGGCAGCCUACAUCCGCAGAAGAUAUGUGGUUAUUCUCCAAGAUGUUUGGAACAACCUACCUGCCAAGUUUCUUCAAAAACUGUAUGCAAGUGUACCUAGAAGAAUUAAUGCUGGUUUAAAGUCAAAGGGUAGUCACACCAAAUAUUGAUUUACGUUCAGGUUAUUUUCCUGUUUUCUCACUUUGCAUUUUGUAAAUUGAUAAAAUUAAGCAGUUAAAAUAUAUAUAUUUGGAAAGCAUUACUUUACAGCAUUUCUUCACACCUACCUAAAACUUUUGCACAGCUCUGUAUAUAACCUUUAUCUUUAUGUUUUCAAAUCUUUAAAGAAAAAAAAGAGCACAGAUGUGUACCAUACAUAUGCCAAUGCAUAACGAUUAUUGAGACCAGUAGUAGUAGAUCAUCUCUUCAAUACUUCAAGCUUUUAUUAGUAUAGUGCUUUCUUAAGAUAUAAUAAACAGGAUUUAUCAACAAUAGGAUUAGUCAGAAAUAUUUAUCAAUGCUAAAGCAUUUAUGAUAUUAUGACGCUUAAAUGGAAUUCCCAUAUUUACAUGUUACAGCUGUGUAAAUGGAGACAUGCAGUAUGGAGAGCCCAGCUGACAGACAUCUGUGAGACUAGUUUGCGGAUUCUUGGAGGAGUUAAGUGAUGACAUGUCUCUCAUCUGAUGUUGGAGUGUAGUAGCAGAAGCACGACAAUGAGAGUAGAUCUUUGCUUCCCAUGUUCUGGAAAGGAAACUAACAACAAUAUGCAAAUCAGUGGAGCCAUAGUUGGAUCAGAGUGGGUGGGUUAGAAUGGCUUUCUGUCCAAAUCCUGUUGUUCAAAAAAAAAAA
Rana temporaria (common frog) is the source of this 1790-nucleotide long non-coding RNA. RefSeq lists it as uncharacterized. The record is from RefSeq and is a predicted model, not a curated record. Lineage: Eukaryota; Metazoa; Chordata; Amphibia; Anura; Ranidae. The transcript is spliced from 8 exons.